RNAcentral lists this ribosomal RNA (468 nucleotides) under uncultured bacterium. RNAcentral's name for it is "partial 16S ribosomal RNA". It matches the Rfam family "Bacterial small subunit ribosomal RNA", at positions 28 to 507 of the family's 1533-position model. The record is from RNAcentral.
GACGAACGCUGGCGGCGUGCUUAACACAUGCAAGUCGAACGGAAAGGCCCUGCUUUUGUGGGGUGCUCGAGUGGCGAACGGGUGAGUAACACGUGAGUAACCUGCCCUUGACUUUGGGAUAACUUCAGGAAACUGGGGCUAAUACCGGAUAGGAGCUCCUGCUGCAUGGUGGGGGUUGGAAAGUUUCGGCGGUUGGGGAUGGACUCGCGGCUUAUCAGCUUGUUGGUGGGGUAGUGGCUUACCAAGGCUUUGACGGGUAGCCGGCCUGAGAGGGUGACCGGCCACAUUGGGACUGAGAUACGGCCUAGACUCCUACGGGAGGCAGCAGUGGGGAAUAUUGCACAAUGGGCGGAAGCCUGAUGCAGCAACGUCGCGUGCGGGAUGACGGCCUUCGGGUUGUAAACCGCUUUCGCCUGUGACGAAGCGUGAGUGACGGUAAUGGGUAAAGAAGCACCGGCUAACUACGUG